GAUGAAGAACGCAGCGAAAUGCGAUAAGUAAUGUGAAUUGCAGAAUUCAGUGAAUCAUCGAAUCUUUGAACGCACAUUGCGCCCGCCAACAUUCUGGCGGGCAUGCCUGUUCGAGCGUCAUUUCAACCCUCGAGCCCCCCCGGGGGCCUCGGUGUUGGGGGACGGCACACCAGCCGCCCCCGAAAUGCAGUGGCGACCCCGCCGCAGCCUCCCCUGCGUAGUAGCACACACCUCGCACCGGAGCGCGGAGGCGGUCACGCCGUAAAACGCCCAACUUUCUUAGAGUUGACCUCGGAUCAGGUAGGAAUACCCGCUGAACUUAAGCAUAUCAAUAAGCGGAGGA
This 343-nucleotide unclassified non-coding RNA is filed under the name soil metagenome. RNAcentral's name for it is "partial contains 5.8S ribosomal RNA, internal transcribed spacer 2, and large subunit ribosomal RNA". The stretch from base 1 to 120 matches the Rfam family "5.8S ribosomal RNA", at positions 35 to 154 of the family's 154-position model. The record is from RNAcentral.